RNAcentral lists this long non-coding RNA (279 nucleotides) under Gossypium raimondii (Peruvian cotton). Its description in RNAcentral is "long non-coding RNA (GRAI_LNC005108)". The record is from RNAcentral. Lineage: Eukaryota; Viridiplantae; Streptophyta; Magnoliopsida; Malvales; Malvaceae.
UUCACUCCAUCUGCCUGGAUCGAUGAUGAUAGUAAACCCAUUCUGAUUUUCGGUUGAUUCUCUGCUACCAACCCUGUUCUGAUGACUAAGGCAAUGCUCAAUAUCUCAACGGACUCCAUCGCUAGUCUGCCUUAAACACCUCCAUUCGAAACCGAGCACUUUUUGCUACAGUGCGGUGAAAAACUAAAAAUUGGAAGCAAAAGAAUUUUAACUGCACGCAGCUUUAUUUUGGAAGUGUAUGGAUAACACCAGCCUGCCAUUCUGGUCUUUCCAAAUCUG